UGAGGAAUAUUGGUCGAUGGGCGAGAGCCUGAACCAGCCAAGUCGCGUGAAGGAUGAAGGUCUUAUGGAUUGUAAACUUCUUUUAUAAGGGAAUAAAAAAGAUCACGUGUGGUCUAUUGCAUGUACCUUAUGAAUAAGCAUCGGCUAACUCCGUG
Molecule: ribosomal RNA, 155 nt
Filed under: uncultured bacterium
Lineage: Bacteria
Description: partial 16S ribosomal RNA
Rfam family: Bacterial small subunit ribosomal RNA
Source: RNAcentral